Molecule: RNA transcript, 1360 nt
Organism: Mangifera indica (mango)
Lineage: Eukaryota; Viridiplantae; Streptophyta; Magnoliopsida; Sapindales; Anacardiaceae
Gene name: syndetin-like
Exons: 4
Source: RefSeq, a predicted model, not a curated record
CCAACAGAGCCUAACAGUUACCCACCGUCGCUGUUCCUCGGAAACUAAUCACUUCUAAAAUUACAAUCAGAUCUCAAAUCAAAUGGCCUACAGUAACAAGCUGUUAUUCACGGACUUGGAGUUGAGAUGCAGCCGAAUCUAUUCCCAUUCGGCACCUUAUCGGGGAAUCCUUUUCUACUUAAUGAAGAUUUGAGGGAGGGAGGAGGUUUCCAGAGCUGGAGCGUCUUUUUCUUCUUGCUAUUCCGAGGAGGCGGAACGGAUUUGUCCAAGGUUGGUGAGAAGAUUCUCAGUCUGUACGUUCUGCUAGAUCCAUGGCACUAUUGCCUUCCUCUUCUAGUCGGCCCGAGGUUCCAGCUAGGGCUGCAGCAACUGCAGUUGUUGCUCAUGUGUGUGCAGGGCUGCCUAAUCACCAAAGGUUCACUCUUCCAUUGAGUUCCAAAGGAUUAUGCUCUAUGUGUGGAAGUAGACCUCAGGACUAUCUUUUAUUUUUAAGUUACAUUUUUUUUUCUCUAGGUUGUUAUCUCAUGUAAAACUACUUCUACAAUCUCAGCCUCUACUUGCUUAAUGGUAGAUAUGUUGAUUUGAUGUUGGAAGAAUUCAAGCGCUAUAAAACAAGGCUUGCUCAUGGAGGUAUUCGCAAAGAGCUUCACUAGGUGGCUUCAAUUGUAUAUGCAUGAAUGCAUUAAUGUCAUAGCUGUGAACUAAGAAGAACACAAACUGUUAAUCAUGUGGAAAGGACUUACUAUCUGAAACUAUUUGUCAAGGUUCAAGACCAUCUGUUAGAAUAUGAAGUUGAAAUUGUUGCUGAAAUUCUCAUAGAAGGUCUAUCAAGGGUAAAGAGAUGUACUGAUGAAGGUCAAGCUUUCUUGUCAUUAGAUCUUCAGGUUUUCAUCAAUGGCCUCCAACAUUUUGUUUCCAUAAAUGUCAAGCCAAAGAUACAAAUAGUUGAGACUUUCAUCAAGGUGACUAUGAGCAUAGUAAAUUGCUAUAAAAUUUCUAAAUCACGUGCAAAGUAUGAAGUCAAAGAAGUUUUGUUAGUAUAAUUGGACAUCUGCACCUUGAUCUGUUUGACAUGAAUCUUUACCAAGUUGGAAAUUUUAUAACUGUUACAUCAUUAUAUUGUGGGGCUGAUCAACCUCAUAGCUUCAAUGAAAGGCUGGAAAAGAAAAAACAAAUUGGAAACAAUAGAAAAGAUGGAAUCAGCCAUUGUGUAGUUGGCAAAAUCAUGUGAAGUUUCAGGCUUUACACUACCAUUUAUUUGUUUAAUUCCUUUUCACAGAGUGAUGUAAAUUGAUCUCACUUAAAAACGUGUAGAGUGAAUUACAGGGUUGUAUAAUUUCAGAUGCCUUUCUCUGAUUCC